This is a long non-coding RNA of Sander lucioperca (pikeperch), 1277 nucleotides long. RefSeq lists it as uncharacterized. The record is from RefSeq and is a predicted model, not a curated record. Lineage: Eukaryota; Metazoa; Chordata; Actinopteri; Perciformes; Percidae. The transcript is spliced from 2 exons.
CCUCAGUCACUUGCAUUACCAAAGGGCAAUCUGCCAGAGCACAAUAAUGGAUGAGAAACACACAGGAGGAUCUGAGCACUGAGGGCUGAACAGUAGAGGGCUUUCAAUCUGGCUGGCGUCCUGGGGGAAUUCACAGGGGUCAUUGCUCAAUCCCUGGGGGACAUUAAUGCAAAUCACAAAGGAGCACAGAAGUCAUUUUAGUUUUCCACUUUCCUUUGGCCACUGCCCAAUGCUAAAUGGCAAAGGACUGGCUUGCAAUACUCGGCAGAGCAUCCCCCUUUCCUUCUUCGGUCUCUAACCUUUUAAACCGGAUUUAAUCAAAUCAAAAUACCACAGUCCAGAGCCAUUUGAGACAACCUGAAGACAAACAGUUGAGGAACCAGAAUGCCUUGGGGUGAACCAAGGGCGAGCCCAUCCAUUACUUCCUGUGCAACCAAGAGCAAAGGGACACGGAAAAUGCCUGCGGUACACGAUGAUGAACUGACUCCACAUCAGAGAUUGGAUUAGAGUGGCAAGAGAGAGAGCCCUAAAAGCCAUGCACAGUUUAUUGAAGCCUUAUCUAAAGCGAUAAUGUUACUAGAGAAAGGCCUGUGUAAUGACGGAUGAGUGGACGGUGCAUCAGGCGAGAUGGUGGAUAGGCAGGUCCACCAUGGUCAACUCAUCUUCUUUUAAAAGCAGGAAGUAGGACCAGUAGAUGGUUACGAUAGAAUGGACUGUCAAUUGCUAGCAACCUGGUUACCCGGCAGUGUCAUCUUCACAGGUGUAUCAAGUUUAGAGAGGCUCAGUGCUCAGGUUCACUGCAAUUUAGGUCCCAUUUCAUCACUGAUACCCAUAAGGCAUUUUGGGGAAAAUGGUAGCAGUGUUACUACUGAGAUUUGUAGUCUCCCUGAAAGCACUGAUCUCUGCAGUGGUUGGGUUUGUGAUAUAUGAAAUAUAUGUCUGACCAUGCACUGUUUAUAUAUAACAUAAGUUUUCUUAGGGGAAUGUGGAGUGUGAUGGUCACUACUGAUGCACAGAAAAUAGAGUGAGAAGUAAGAUGAAAAUAGAAAUUACAUCUAAAGGGUUUUGUUGAGUGGUUAGAGGGAAAGCAAAGUAUAGCAUUUGGAUAAAAGUCUUGUUCUCAUUUUUUUUGGAUGACUAGAGGAUUUUUCCCCCGCUGAAAGACAAUGUUAUCUUAUAGUAGACGGAUGAUGGUAAUGACAACACAAUCCCUUCCAUGGUAAACACAUAUUUCUAGCGCUUGGGAACAAAAGUGAGUGGAGAAGAAAGUACAACAA